GUUGUUGUGGCCGAGUGGUUAAGUCAAUAAACUAGAAAUCCAUUGAUGUUUCCCUGCACAGGUUCAAAUCCUGCUGAUAACC
Danionella cerebrum is the source of this 82-nucleotide non-coding RNA. The record is from the annotation of a GenBank genome assembly. NCBI's taxonomy places the organism in Eukaryota, Metazoa, Chordata, Actinopteri, Cypriniformes, Danionidae.